Molecule: unclassified non-coding RNA, 253 nt
Filed under: uncultured Paracoccaceae bacterium
Lineage: Bacteria; Pseudomonadati; Pseudomonadota; Alphaproteobacteria; Rhodobacterales; Paracoccaceae
Description: uncultured Rhodobacteraceae bacterium contains 16S-23S intergenic spacer region
Rfam family: Bacterial small subunit ribosomal RNA
Source: RNAcentral
UACGGAGGGGGUUAGCGUUGUUCGGAAUGACUGGGCGUAAAGCGCGCGUAGGCGGAUCGGACAGUCAGAGGUGAAAGCCCGGGGCUCAACCCCGGAAUUGCCUUUGAUACUGCCGGUCUUGAGUUCGAGAGAGGUGAGUGGAAUUCCGAGUGUAGAGGUGAAAUUCGUAGAUAUUCGGAGGAACACCAGUGGCGAAGGCGGCUCACUGGCUCGACACUGACGCUGAGGUGCGAAAGCGUGGGGAGCAAACAGG